AGAGCGAACGCUGGCGGCAGGCUUAACACAUGCAAGUCGAGCGGGCGUAGCAAUACGUCAGCGGCAGACGGGUGAGUAACGCGUGGGAACGUACCUUUUGGUUCGGAACAACCCAGGGAAACUUGGGCUAAUACCGGAUAAGCCCUUACGGGGAAAGAUUUAUCGCCGAAAGAUCGGCCCGCGUCUGAUUAGCUAGUUGGUGAGGUAAUGGCUCACCAAGGCGACGAUCAGUAGCUGGUCUGAGAGGAUGAUCAGCCACAUUGGGACUGAGACACGGCCCAAACUCCUACGGGAGGCAGCAGUGGGGAAUAUUGGACAAUGGGCGCAAGCCUGAUCCAGCCAUGCCGCGUGAGUGAUGAAGGCCCUAGGGUUGUAAAGCUCUUUUGUGCGGGAAGAUAAUGACGGUACCGCAAGAAUAACGCCCGGCUAACUUCGUGCCAGCAGCCGC
This 448-nucleotide ribosomal RNA is filed under the name uncultured bacterium. RNAcentral describes it as "SSU rRNA". It matches the Rfam family "Bacterial small subunit ribosomal RNA", at positions 26 to 518 of the family's 1533-position model. The record is from RNAcentral.